GUCUUUAUCUCUUCAGUUUAUUUAUUUAUUUGAGAGCUGAUAUUCAAUUAAAACAAAGAAGUGUAAAAUAUUACAUCCCCAAUGGGGCAGAUUCGAUUUAGACUUCAAAUAAAAAUCCUAGUAUUAUUAUAGCCCAGAGUUUUAUAUCAACGAAACCAGUUGCCCAUGUUAGUAUCCCAUUGGAUAGAAUCACCAAGAGGCCCAUCAAAACCCAAUCAAGUAAAGGAAAAGUUAAUUAUGGAAAAUACAUGUAGACUUUGGUUUUGUCGAAGAUUGACGAAGAUCCGAGAGAUGGAGUGCACGAAAGAAAUCAUCUGCUAAAUUGGCAAACCAGGAAGCAUCAGGAGGUAAAGUACCAAACUUGCAUCAACUAAGAGGAGAGAUUAUGAUUAGAAUCCCGAAGACCUGAGAUUUUAUUCCUGAUAGUAGAGUCUAUCAAUCGCAAGACAUGAGAGAAUUAAGAACAAAGUCUCGAAAUAUUCCUCGAUUAGAUCGGAGACUGGUUAUCUGGUGGGAAUAAAUCACUGGAAAACAGACUCUAGCUGAUUAUCAAGCAAAUCUACAGCAACAUUUGUUUCAUAAUCAAGCAGCUAUCAACACAGAAUAAUCUGUUGCCGACAAUCGAAAAAAGACUGUAGAAAUCUACGGAAUGAUUUAGAAGGAAAAAGUGAUGAUCUUCACUGAAUUGAACUCACUUAUUUAUAGGUGUAAAUCCACAACAAUUUGAGAUAGGAGAUGUAUGGAAUGAGAGGUCUUGGAUGAGUGGGUCGGUGAUAUUAAUGAAAACAUUUAUUGUAUUUAAUAAAUCUAACAGAGAAUAGUAACGCCGCAGUUUUUUCUUCUCAGCGGGAGGAAGAAGAAACAUGUCAUAACCUAAGUCAAAUAAUGUUUUUCGUACAUACUAACUUUAAAAAUAAUAGUCUUGUUGUAUGGCACAUCCUAAGUCAAACUUCUUGGAAUCACUGGAAAACAGACUCUAGCUGAUUAUCAAGCAAAUCUACAUCAAUAUUUGUUUCAUAAUCAAGCAGCUAUCAACACAGAAUAAUCUGUUACCGACAAUCGAAAAAAGAUUGUAGAAAUCUACGGAAUGAUUUAGAAGGAAAAAGUGAUGAUCUUCACUGAAUUGAACUCACUUAUUUAUAGGUGUAAAUCCACAACAAUUUGAGAUAGGAGAUGUAUGGAAUGAGAGGUCUUGGAUGAGUGGGUCGGUGAUAUUAAUGAAAACAUUUAUUGUAUUUAAUAAAUCUAACAGAGAAUAGUAACGCCGCAGUUUUUUCUUCUCAGCGGGAGGAAG
This 1294-nucleotide long non-coding RNA is filed under the name Brassica napus (rape). RNAcentral's name for it is "long non-coding RNA (BNAP_LNC024269)". The record is from RNAcentral. Lineage: Eukaryota; Viridiplantae; Streptophyta; Magnoliopsida; Brassicales; Brassicaceae.